Leptonychotes weddellii (Weddell seal) is the source of this 102-nucleotide small nuclear RNA. Lineage: Eukaryota; Metazoa; Chordata; Mammalia; Carnivora; Phocidae. The record is from RefSeq and is a predicted model, not a curated record.
UUGCUUUGGCAGCACAUACACUAACAUUGGAAUGAUGCAGAGAAGAUGAGCAUGGUCUUGGGCAAGGAUGUCACACAAAUUCACGAAGCACUCCUUAUUUUU